RNAcentral lists this ribosomal RNA (400 nucleotides) under uncultured bacterium. RNAcentral describes it as "bacterial SSU rRNA". It matches the Rfam family "Bacterial small subunit ribosomal RNA", at positions 358 to 772 of the family's 1533-position model. The record is from RNAcentral.
GGAAUAUUGGACAAUGGGGGGAACCCUGAUCCAGCGACGCCGCGUGAGUGAAGAAGUAUUUCGGUAUGUAAAGCUCUAUCAGCAGGGAAGAAGAAAAUGACGGUACCUGACUAAGAAGCCCCGGCUAACUACGUGCCAGCAGCCGCGGUAAUACGUAGGGGGCAAGCGUUAUCCGGAUUUACUGGGUGUAAAGGGAGCGUAGGCGGCAAGGUAAGCCAGAAGUGAAAGCCAGUGGCUCAACUGCGGGACUGCUUUGGGAACUAUCUAGCUAGAUUGCAGGAGAGGUAAGUGGAAUUCCUAGUGUAGCGGUGAAAUGCGUAGAUAUUAGGAGGAACACCAGUGGCGAAGGCGGCUUACUGGACUGUAAAUGACGCUGAGGCUCGAAAGCGUGGGGAGCAAA